AAAAUCUUAAAAUUUUCUUUUAGGGUUUCCAGGUAUGAAUUUUUAUGAAAAUAGCUCCAUCAACUUUCCCUAUGUGGACACAAGUUCUGCUGUCAAUUUCCCUGCAGUAGAGAAAGUCCCACAGUCAACUGCAGACAAGAAGGCUACCUUUUCCUUUAAGACCAUAAAGGAUUUCUGUCACAGAGUAAAAACCUGAAGGGCCUUAGAAAGGAGACACCUACGGAGUGCUGUUAAGCAACUAAUUCUACAUAUUAUCAGUAUGGCACAUGGAAGAAAGUAGCCAGCAGAGUGUUGUCAUCAAUGACCUCUGGACUCUUGAUUUAAGGAAAGAUUUAAACACAUAAUCUAUAAAUUCAAGGGCUUACAUGCAGCAAGAGCCCAUGCAUACAUCACUGGAUUUCUGAGACGGGCUGUUUGCAAAUUUGACAUUUGGAGGCUGUCUAAAAAGUGGCAUGAAGUUAUAUUUUCUAGAGUGACUACAGAUUUCAAAAAUGAGCAAGCAACACGGGUCAGUAGAAACUGGCCAAACGAAGCUUUUGUGGUACUCCAACAGAGAGUUCAAAGGAUGGAUACAUGGAUGGUGAUUUCAUUAAAGAAAAAGAGAUGACACUCGAAGCACUUUCCGAGAAUAAAACACAGUGGCUGCAGAGAAGAGGAGGAAUCAGGUGCGACUCAGACCUGCUAGACCACGCUUCACUGAUGGCUACAAUCAGAGAAAAGUGGCAGCUAGAAAAGACUGGUGGAGCAUUUCUAGCCUUACCCAAAAGAUUCUUUGACAUGCAAAACCAAAGACUGUAGGAGCUGCCCUUUACCUUCCAAAUCUUAAAGAAAGUACAUUAUUAAAUUAGUGUACAAAGUUGCUAAUUAGGUAGCUAUCACGGCGUGUUUUUUAUUCAAUCUACUGCUUAAUUGUCCUUUACCUAUUCCCAUUUUCUCCUUCUCCCUGAUCUCCUGUUCUUCCUCAAUAGUUCCCUCAUCAGCAGACGACUGCAUGUUACUUGUACUGUAUUAAUUUCUUGUUUCCCUAUCCUCUCUCUAAAGACCACUUUUCUCAUUUCUAUGUGCAUAACAUACGUACACACAUAUGUGUGUGCAUGUGCACACACACAAUAUACAUGCACAUAUAAAUAUAGAUUUGUCAUACCAGAAGAGAUUUGUCUUUCUGUGUCUGUGCUAUUUUAUUUAACAUAAUCUCUAACCUCCACGAAUUUUCCUACUAAAGUCUUGACUUCAUUUUUCUUUUUUCUUUAAGACACACACACACACACACACACACACACACACACACACACACACACAAUCCCCCUGUGCAUGUUUGCCACAGUUAUUUUAUCCAUUCACAGGUUGGCAAUUCAUAGGCUGCUUCCAUUUCUUAGUUACUGUGAAUGAUGCAGCAAUAAACAUGGAUGCGUAGACGUCUCUGUGGUAGGCUGACUUACAUGUGUUUGUGUAUGUAUCCUUGUAUUACAUAGGU
Rattus norvegicus (Norway rat) is the source of this 1474-nucleotide non-coding RNA. The record is from RefSeq and is a predicted model, not a curated record. NCBI's taxonomy places the organism in Eukaryota, Metazoa, Chordata, Mammalia, Rodentia, Muridae.